UACGAAGGGGGCUAGCGUUGCUCGGAAUUACUGGGCGUAAAGGGCGCGUAGGCGGCCAGAUUAGUCAGGCGUGAAAGCCCUGGGCUCAACCUGGGGACUGCGCUUGAUACGGUUUGGCUUGAGGACGGAAGAGGCUCGCGGAAUUCCCAGUGUAGAGGUGAAAUUCGUAGAUAUUGGGAAGAACACCGGUGGCGAAGGCGGCUCACUGGCUCAUAUCUGACGCUCAGGCGCGACAGCGUGGGGAUCAAACAGG
RNAcentral lists this ribosomal RNA (253 nucleotides) under uncultured bacterium. RNAcentral's name for it is "partial 16S ribosomal RNA". It matches the Rfam family "Bacterial small subunit ribosomal RNA", at positions 524 to 776 of the family's 1533-position model. The record is from RNAcentral.